This 253-nucleotide ribosomal RNA is filed under the name uncultured bacterium. Its description in RNAcentral is "partial 16S ribosomal RNA". It matches the Rfam family "Bacterial small subunit ribosomal RNA", at positions 524 to 776 of the family's 1533-position model. The record is from RNAcentral.
UACGUAGGGGGCAAGCGUUGUCCGGAAUGAUUGGGCGUAAAGGGCGCGUAGGCGGCCUGGUAAGUCUGGAGUGAAAGUCCUGCUUUUAAGGUGGGAAUUGCUUUGGAUACUGCUGGGCUUGAGUGCAGGAGAGGUAAGUGGAAUUCCCAGUGUAGCGGUGAAAUGCGUAGAGAUUGGGAGGAACACCAGUGGCGAAGGCGACUUACUGGACUGUAACUGACGCUGAGGCGCGAAAGUGUGGGGAGCAAACAGG